CAUGUAUGUAAUACUUUCAUAGUUUUUAUAUAAAUUACAUCAUAAAUAACAAAAAGGUAAUUUGAAACACUCACGCACCCAUAUAAUAUUCAAACAGCACAUAUAUGAGAGCUGAUCCCCUAUAUAGUUCUCUUAAUCCAACUUCUGCCAGUGAGUACAUCUCAAGCCGGAUUUUCUCUUAAUAGACAAAAUGUGGAGGCCAACGAGAUCAUCUCGAGCCAUGCCUACCCCUACUUAUCCAUAAAAGGAUCGAGUCUCAGCGAGUCAAGCUUCAGUCGCGUUUACCCGUCCGGUUCAUAUCUAAUAUCACACACCACACGCACGCCAACACACACACUGCUCCAAAUUACCAUAAAACAACAUCCAUAACAUUUCAUCAAAUAAAGAUACAAUAUAAAACGUGCCUAUUAUUUAACUACAUAAAUAUAUAUUUAUAAGUGAUGCAUGGGCAAGCUUGAACAUAUAAUAAUAUCGAA
RNAcentral lists this unclassified non-coding RNA (476 nucleotides) under Hevea brasiliensis (rubber tree). The record is from RNAcentral. Lineage: Eukaryota; Viridiplantae; Streptophyta; Magnoliopsida; Malpighiales; Euphorbiaceae.